GGCCAGGUAGCUUAGCGGUCAAAGCACUCUUACGUUUAGGAAGAAUAUACGUUGGUUCAAACCCGACCCUGGCCC
Non-coding RNA from Truncatella angustata, 75 nucleotides. Lineage: Eukaryota; Fungi; Ascomycota; Sordariomycetes; Amphisphaeriales; Sporocadaceae. The record is from the annotation of a RefSeq genome assembly.